GCUGUACACAAGUUUAUUCCAAUUUUUUAUUUUACAAUGUUUUGUUUUCGUAAAGUGUGGUAAGUGCAGACCAUAUUCUCUAAGAAUUUUUGUGAUCUUCUGAAAAAUGUAAUGAAAAAGUGUUUCACAAAGAUCACAGAAAAAUCGUGAGUGGAAACCAGUAGUUAUUCCAAUACAGUAAACUCUAUACAACUUUGAUGCAUUGCGUUUCCAAGAUGGCGUUAAUAUUAGUAGGAUUUGAUGCAUGUAUUAAACUUUUAUUAUAUCAUGUCAUCAACAUGUCAUUAAAAAGAAGCAGUUAAAUUAUAUAGGUUCAAGAGACACCCUUUUCUUUUAGCUGUAUUUUUUUGCUGUAUUUCUAUUAUAAAAUUAAGAAUCUGGAAUUUAUCACUACUUAUUUUCACACCGUGUUUUUCUUGCGAAAAAAAUAAAGACAAGCUAUGUAAAGUAAAGACCUCCCUGUAAUAAAGGUAACCACAUCCCUGGGUAUUCUACUCCACCCGAGACAUGUGCAAUAUUUUGUAUUUUCUCAUGUCGAGGAAUAUAAAUUUUAAUAUAAAGUUCUGAUUUUUUGCAACUGGUUAAAACACGAACUAGGAUGUCUCUUCUACCCAUGCAUAAGAUACUGUAUACGACCGACCGAUUUUAGGGGUCAAAGGUCCGUUUACAAACGGGAUUAUCCGCCAUCAAUGUGACUCAAUAAAUGGAUGCCAGUUGAUAAAUUUCCAAUAUAGCUACGUAAAAAAAUUCUAAUUCGGCAGUUUUAUACAUUUUCUUUCAAUUACAACUGUUCAGAGACUAUCAAUCUGAAUAAUCAGUCAAUAUAGAGAUUUGAAAUAAAAUUACGGUCAAGUGACAAAUAAGUGAUUAAUAAAAUCUGGAGUAGUUUUACGUUUUUAGAAAAUUGAAGGCGAAACCUUCAUUUACAAGACAUGUAAGGAAGGACUUUAAUAGUGUAUUUUCCACGUGAUGUUGUCGCCCCCCCGCCAAAAAUCCGAUUGGUCAACAGGCCUCCACGUUCAUUUCGCCGAAAAGAUAAAAUUAUCUUGUCAACGAGAAUUAGAUUAUACUAACCGAUACUAGAACGUUCAAAAGCUUUACUAAAUCUAUGGUGUUUACUGCAUCAUGUUCAGGGUGAUCCUAAAAUUUCCGCUUGAAAUUCAACGUCACUCCAAUAUAACCCACGUACAGCAAUACACCUCAAACUUCCAAAAAUUAAGACCAAUAAAGACCAAAGAAGUAUUUCUGAAAUUGACGGUACCAAAGGACAGCCUGAGAGCCAUGCAUCUAUAUAUAUUUAACCUCAACAUGUUACGCUUCGUCGAAGGCAUUCAGUCUCACACAAUGAACUCAACCAUGUAAGUUUUAUAACUUAAGUCUUCAAGAUCAUUACUUUCGCAGAAAUAUUUGAAAAUAAUAAUCCGGAUCAGUUUAGUUGAUAAGAAAUGUGUAUCUGCCACAUAAAGCUGAUCAUCAUAAGAAGGAAAAAAGUUGAGUUGCACAGAAUUGAAGACACGAAGCCAUCCUAGAAACUCUAGAAACUGUUCUUACAAACAGCAUCGCAAAUUGGAUGCUCACAAACAUCAUUACGCGAUAUCUAAUUGUCAUGCACUCAUCUUCGUUAUAUCUUUGAACAAGUUCAUUGAUAGUUUUUGACCUCAAAUUAUCAAUAUACGUAUUAGCUGGUUGAACAGGACCAUAGCGACCGGGGGAUAUUAAUUAGCGACUGAAAUGUUCUCGGCAUGCAUGCGUCGCAAAAUCAGGUAAAA
RNAcentral lists this long non-coding RNA (1769 nucleotides) under Paramuricea clavata. Lineage: Eukaryota; Metazoa; Cnidaria; Anthozoa; Malacalcyonacea; Plexauridae. The record is from RNAcentral.